This 351-nucleotide ribosomal RNA is filed under the name Triticum aestivum (bread wheat). Its description in RNAcentral is "partial small subunit ribosomal RNA". The record is from RNAcentral. Lineage: Eukaryota; Viridiplantae; Streptophyta; Magnoliopsida; Poales; Poaceae.
AUGUUGGUCCGACCAGGAGGCGUUGCCAUUAUAGGGUGUCCGACCAACGUCCUCGUGUUCGUGCAUCUUCAGGAAGAAACGACCCGGGGGGGGCUAGAUCGCAAGGGCAGAGUUGCAGUCCUCCAGGGCCGCGGGAAGAAGAAGAUGGGACUCAUAUACAAGCCUCCCUCUCGUGGUGAACACUCUUCCCUGGAAUUGAUGGAAGAUCUGCCUUGCAGCCUUAGAGGAUCCAUGCAUCGUGUGAUGUGUGGCCUACAGGCUACCAAUGCAACUGAUGUAGUCCUGCACAACACAAAUAAUUUAGUGGUGCUUGGAUCUAGGAGUGAACUGGGUCAGGGUUCUGUACUAUAG